UUACCGUUUCAGGAGUAACCAACCACUUCUCAAUUGGACCAUACUCCAGAGGAGGCAAUCCAUAGCUGAUACUGUAAUCCUGGUGCAGUGGUUUGAAUGAGAAUUACUCCUAUAAACAAGUAUGUUAAACACUUGUCCCCAGUGGGUGGGACUGUUCCAGAAUAAUCGUGAGGUGUGGCCUUGUCGGAGGAGUGUGCCACUGGACAAGUUUUGAGGUCUCAAAAGACUCUCGCCAUUCUCAGCGUUCAUCCCUCUGCCUCCUACUUUUGGAUCAAGAUACUCCACAGAGUGGUGAAGCUCCCAGUCUUAGAGAAGAGAACAUCAUGGAAGAGGGAGUAGAGAAACUAAAAGCAGAGGACGGAGCGGAAUACUGUAAAAUGUGGUUCCUGGUGUCUUCUUUAGGCUUCCAUUGCUGUGAGCAGACACCAUGACAAAGACAACUCUUAUAAAGGACAACAUUUAAUUGAACUGGC
This is a long non-coding RNA of Mastomys coucha (southern multimammate mouse), 473 nucleotides long. RefSeq lists it as uncharacterized. The record is from RefSeq and is a predicted model, not a curated record. The transcript is spliced from 2 exons. Lineage: Eukaryota; Metazoa; Chordata; Mammalia; Rodentia; Muridae.